Molecule: long non-coding RNA, 615 nt
Filed under: Cricetulus griseus (Chinese hamster)
Lineage: Eukaryota; Metazoa; Chordata; Mammalia; Rodentia; Cricetidae
Description: lncRNA (ENSCGRG00000026426.1)
Source: RNAcentral
AUGGCGUCUUCAGUUGGACUGCUUCCCACUCAGCUUCUGAACUCUUACCUGGGUACCACCUUGCGGACGAUGGAAGAUGUCAUUGCAGAACAAAGUGUUAGUGGAUAUUUUGUCUUUUGUUUACAGAUUGUUAUAAGCAUAGGCCUCAUGUUUUAUGUAGUCCAUCGAGCUCAAGUGGAAUUGAAGGCAGCUAUCGUAGCUUGUGAGAUGGAACUGAAAACCUCCCUGGUUAAAGGCAGUGAGCCAGACCCCAGUGGCCCUUCCUUCUACAACAAGAGGACCCUCACGUUUUCUGGAGCGAGAAGCAUAAGGCUUCGUGAAAGCCACAACACUGUACAUGUUUGAAAUUCCUUGUGAAGGACACAGCGGCAUAACCUGUUGAAUCCGUUCAGGAAUAAAUGGUGACUCUGUGAAUUGUGUGGCUGGGGCUUUUCUUUUGUGUUCUAAAUAGUAAUGACAUUUGGUUAACUCAGUGUGAAGAUGUUCCUAUAAAUUUAGAUAUAAGGAACUGGUUGUAUAACUCAAUGAUGGAGUGCAUAUGUGAGCCCUUAAGUUAAAUUCUCAGCACCAUCCACAUAAAACAAACCAAGUGUUUAUUUCUCUAUAUCAUAAAUG